GCCAGCUAUAUAUAUCCUCACAUUCUUGUUGAUAAUUAAGUAAAUACUUAUCACCAUAUAUUGCAUGUGGGCGUGAAUGGGGCGGACUUAUUGCUGUGUAAAUAUAUUACGAGCGUGCUGAAUUGCAUGGCUUUUUGUAAGGUUUUGAAAAGGGACUAAUUUUUACAAUGACAUUCAGAACAUAUAGUAUAAAUCUAAAGUCAGUCAAGAGAUGGUUAAUGACAAAUUAGGAAAGUAUAAAGCAAUUGCAAAACAAGAUAUUUGAGGAGAUUUUUCAGAAUUUGAAUUUCGUUAUCUUUGUUAGGCAUUGCCUCCGAAUCCAUGCUAUUCGCGAUGAAAUUAGAUGGUUUGGAUGCAACUAUACCUAAAAAAUAGUUAAUCGCCACAACGAAAGCUUUUUUACAUCAUUGGCACUACCUAAACUGGCAUAUAUACUACUCGCAUACAUACAGUAGAUAGUUCAAUUGGAAAUUAGAACCAGCGCGAUGUACAAUAACUUAUAAUAGCAGCUGUGUGUCCAAUAUAGUAUGUGAAUUUAAUUAUAACGAAGUAUUUUAACACAGUCAUGGUCAAUUCUCCUAUAUAACACGCUCACGAAACUCCCGCAGAGAGGGGAUUUCCCCUUUCACACAGAAAAAUAGUUAGGCUAAUUUUUACUAAAUUACUAACGAAUUUACUAGUAGCAAGAAAUAGUAACGAAGUUACUAACAAAUGUUUUUAUACAAAAGAAUACGGGAUGUUUUUAAUGACUACGGACAACAACUAUCAAAUAAAUUUCAAGGAAAAUGUAGUUGAAGUCCAUUUUCAUUGCGCAAUUGAACAACGUAUUAAUUACGUCAGCCUAUUUCUAUGAAUAUUUAUUUUGAAUUUUUCUCUUUAUUUGAGCCUAGAAGUUACAAAUAGUGUUCAAGUAAAUGUGAAACAUGCGCCAUAUACUUCAUUAUUUGAUACAUAUAUGAGCAGUCAGUCAAGAAACACGAAUAUAGUACUGCAUUGUAAUCCUAUAGACCAUGUUUAUAUAUAUAUUGUUCUUUGUAUAUUUCUUUGUAUAUAAAAGCACGCAAUUUCAAUUCCAAUCUGGCGACAUAAUUCGUUUAUGAAAUAAACAGUUUGCAUUAUAUAUCCUUUAACAUAUAGGGCCAGGGGGGCUUUGGGGAAAAAAAUGACAAAUAGUUAAAACUAUAUUGAAUCCAAAAAGGUCGUAAUAUGAAACGUGUCACGGAUAGGAAUCGAAUUUACAAUCACGAUUAAAUUACAUGUAUCAAUUUCAUUAAAAAUUAAUUGCACUUACUACAGGCGAUAAAACAACGUCGAGUAUCAUCAAUUUCCUGAUCUUCACAUUGCUUCAAUAACUUGGGACAUUUCGCGCAGCCGCCACUCAGGAAAUCGCUUUUAUAUUGGCCUUUCCCGCAGUCUUUAUCGGCGUUGUAAGCAACUCCAAUGCCAAUGUAGAUUAGACAUAGGUAUGACAGGAACCACGGAAAUAUUGAGUGCAUCUCGCCGGCAGGACCACGGUGGUACAAACGAUUUUGAAUGGCUAUAUAUUGUCUGUAAUAGAUAUUAGAUAUGGCGCGGAUACCGAGCGAAUUCUGUGGUUGUUAUUUAAAGGAAGCCAUUCUAUGAUUAAGAUACCCUUGUUGCCUGGUAUUACCGCUCGAUGUAAAGGUUUCAUGAAUUUUGCGAUGCCAGGCGAUCGAUAACGAUUUACCACAAAUCUGCCUUUCGGAGACCAUUCAGUGUAGUGCUCUACUGUAUGUGUGAUGACGAAUGAC
Molecule: non-coding RNA, 1772 nt
Organism: Paramuricea clavata
Lineage: Eukaryota; Metazoa; Cnidaria; Anthozoa; Malacalcyonacea; Plexauridae
Source: the annotation of a GenBank genome assembly